GACGAACGCUGGCGGCGUGCUUAACACAUGCAAGUCGAACGGUGAUGCUCCAGCUUGCUGGAGUGGAUCAGUGGCGAACGGGUGAGUAACACGUGAGCAACCUGCCCCAGACUCUGGAAUAAGCGCUGGAAACGGCGUCUAAUACUGGAUACGAAACUGGCCCGCAUGGGCAUGGUUUGGACAGUUUUUCGGUUUGGGAUGGGCUCGCGGCCUAUCAGCUUGUUGGUGAGGUAAUGGCUCACCAAGGCGACGACGGGUAGCCGGCCUGAGAGGGCGACCGGCCACACUGGGACUGGGACACGGCCCAGACGCCUACGGGAGGCAGCGGUGGGAAAUAUUGCACAACGGGCGAAAGCCUGAUGCAGCGACGCCGCGUGGGGGAUGACGGCCUUCGGGUUGUAAACCUCUUCAGCAGGGAAGAAGCGAAAGUGACGGUACCUGCAGAAGAAGCACCGGCUAACUACGUG
RNAcentral lists this ribosomal RNA (467 nucleotides) under uncultured bacterium. RNAcentral's name for it is "partial 16S ribosomal RNA". It matches the Rfam family "Bacterial small subunit ribosomal RNA", at positions 28 to 507 of the family's 1533-position model. The record is from RNAcentral.